UAUAAAAAGAUCAUUGGCUGUAAAAAUGCUUCUGAGGGAUUCGAGCACUAUUUAAAGAGUGACUGUGGUUGGUUGACAUUGUUAAUGUUCCAAAUUGUGGACCAAACCAAUGGAUCCCUGAGGCCUGAUGUAUGGCCAAAACUUGACACUUCUUAAAAAGGUCAGCAGAAAUGAAGAAGGUGAUUCUGCUUUGUGUGAUGUACAAGAAUAGCUACCAUUUCAGAAAAAGAGUUCUUGGCUGGCAAAAUUUAGAGCCUGAGGAAAGUCAUACACAAAGUACAGAAGAGAUGACAGAACACUACAGCUUUCGCAUUUGAAGAGUAUACUUUCACCAUUAAAAUAUUAGUAAGUGAAUAAAGUGUA
Cyanistes caeruleus (blue tit) is the source of this 363-nucleotide long non-coding RNA. RefSeq lists it as uncharacterized. The record is from RefSeq and is a predicted model, not a curated record. NCBI's taxonomy places the organism in Eukaryota, Metazoa, Chordata, Aves, Passeriformes, Paridae.